GGUCAUGGCUCAGUGGUAGAGUGUUUGCCUAGCAUGUGUGAGUGAGGCACUGGGUUCGAUUCUCAGCACCA
This 71-nucleotide transfer RNA is filed under the name Marmota monax (woodchuck). RNAcentral's name for it is "tRNA.Ala". The record is from RNAcentral. Lineage: Eukaryota; Metazoa; Chordata; Mammalia; Rodentia; Sciuridae.